This 72-nucleotide transfer RNA is filed under the name Ovis aries (sheep). It matches the Rfam family "tRNA". Rfam says of the family: Transfer RNA (tRNA) molecules are approximately 80 nucleotides in length. Their secondary structure includes four short double-helical elements and three loops (D, anti-codon, and T loops). The record is from Rfam by way of RNAcentral. Lineage: Eukaryota; Metazoa; Chordata; Mammalia; Artiodactyla; Bovidae.
GCCCAUCAGGCUCAAACGGUAAAGCAUCUGCCUACAAUGCAGGAGACCCGGGUUCAAUCCCUGGGUUGGGAA